RNAcentral lists this unclassified non-coding RNA (662 nucleotides) under Zingiber officinale. Its description in RNAcentral is "sequence contains 18S rRNA gene, ITS1, 5.8S rRNA gene, ITS2, 28S rRNA gene". The stretch from base 227 to 382 matches the Rfam family "5.8S ribosomal RNA". The record is from RNAcentral. Lineage: Eukaryota; Viridiplantae; Streptophyta; Magnoliopsida; Zingiberales; Zingiberaceae.
CUGCGGAAGGAUCAUUGUUGAGAGAGCAUAUAAUAUAGAAUGACGGAUGGUUGCGAACGCGUGAAUGUGUCCCUCUCUUCGCCCCACCCACGUCACGUGGGCGGGCGAUUGACCGAAGCUCGGUGCGAUCGGCACUAAGGAACAACGAACUCGGAAGCGGAGGGCCCCUCGGCGUGCGCAGGGGAGCCCGAUGCGUCGGAGAUUCCUCGGAAUCAAUCAAUCAAACGACUCUCGGCAAUGGAUAUCUCGGCUCUUGCAUCGAUGAAGAACGUAGUGAAAUGCGAUACUUGGUGUGAAUUGCAGAAUCUCGUGAACCAUUGAGUCUUUGAACGCAAGUUGUGCCCGAGGCCUUGUGGCCGAGGGCACGCCUGCUUGGGUGUCAUGGCAUCGUCGCCUCUGCUCCUCCAUGCCUCGUCGGUUGGUAGGUGCCGAGCGCGGAAAUUGGCCCCGUGUGCCCUCGGGCACAGUCGGCCGAAGAGCGGGUAAAAGUCGGCAGUCGCGGGGCACGACGGGUGUUGGUCGCCGUGAGCGGGAACAGAACGUCGUCCCCGUCGUUUUCGGACUGAAUUCCUCAAGAGACCCUGCGUGAUUGCGGCACCGGGCAGCGAAUGAAAGAAAGCGCGCCGUGCUGCCCGUCAUCAACUUGCGGCCCCAGUCAGGCG